This 492-nucleotide ribosomal RNA is filed under the name uncultured bacterium. RNAcentral's name for it is "partial 16S ribosomal RNA". It matches the Rfam family "Bacterial small subunit ribosomal RNA", at positions 28 to 507 of the family's 1533-position model. The record is from RNAcentral.
GAUGAACGCUAGCUACAGGCUUAACACAUGCAAGUCGAGGGGAAACGACAUCGAAAGCUUGCUUUUGAUGGGCGUCGACCGGCGCACGGGUGAGUAACGCGUAUCCAACCUGCCCACCACUUGGGGAUAACCUUGCGAAAGUAAGACUAAUACCCAAUGAUAUCUCUAGAAGACAUCUGAAAGAGAUUAAAGAUUUAUCGGUGAUGGAUGGGGAUGCGUCUGAUUAGCUUGUUGGCGGGGUAACGGCCCACCAAGGCAACGAUCAGUAGGGGUUCUGAGAGUAAGGCACCCCACAUGGGAACUGAGACACGGACAAAAAUCCGACGGGAGGCAGCAGUGAGGAAUAUUGGGCAAUGGAGGAGAGUCUGAAACAGCCAAGUGGGGUGCAGGAAGACGGGCCUAGGGGUUGUAAACUGCUUUUAUAAGGGAAUAAAGUGAGUCUCGUGAGACUUUUUGCAUGUACCUUAUGAAUAAGGACCGGCUAAUUCCGUG